GUGCCUAACACAUGCAAGUCGAGCGGGGUAGCAAUACCCAGCGGCAGACGGGUGAGUAACACGUAGUCAACCUUCCCGAUAGUGGGGGAUAACUAGCCGAAAGGUUAGCUAAUACCGCAUACGAUCUAUGAGAGGCAUCUCUUAUAGAUGAAAGGAGCAAUCCGCUUUCGGACGGGACUGCGUCCCAUUAGCUAGAUGGUGGGGUAAUGGCCUACCAUGGCGACGAUGGGUAGCUGGUUUGAGAGAGCGACCAGCCACACUGGGACUGAGAAACGGCCCAG
Molecule: ribosomal RNA, 281 nt
Filed under: uncultured bacterium
Lineage: Bacteria
Description: partial 16S ribosomal RNA
Rfam family: Bacterial small subunit ribosomal RNA
Source: RNAcentral